Molecule: long non-coding RNA, 439 nt
Organism: Lucilia cuprina (Australian sheep blowfly)
Lineage: Eukaryota; Metazoa; Arthropoda; Insecta; Diptera; Calliphoridae
Exons: 2
Source: RefSeq, a predicted model, not a curated record
AUCUUGUUUUCUAUUUCUUUCAGUGUUUAUUGACAGUUUUAUUUAAAACUGUCUAUGGUGAUAAAAUUUCACAAUAUAACCACAACAAUUUUUCUGUCGAUUCACAAGCAUCACUGUCACAUUGUUUUAUGUCAAUGUCAGUAAGCCCGGCGACGAGACAAAGUUUAUAACACUGUUCAGUAUAAUUGGCCGUUUGCCUUAAAGCCUCAAAAAAAGCUACAAAAACAUCACAAAAUUCGACAGCAAAUGUUUAUUAAAAUAACAAAAUAUAAACCAUUAAAUAAAUAGCUCAAUCGAUGGCUAAAAUAAAUGUAUAAACAAAAUUUGUGAGUGGAAUAUCUAUCUAUGUAACCGCCUGGCUAAAGCUAAAAUAAACUUUAAAAUACACACAAAUAAAAACAGCCUUGAAUUUUAUAUAUAAAUAAAAUAAAUAAAUAAA